CGGUUGAUCCUGCCGGACCCGACUGCUAUCAGAGUGAGACUAAGCCAUGCGAGUCAACGUAUGAAUAAUGCGUGGCAUACGGCUCAGUAACACGUAGUCAACAUGCCCAGAGGACGUGGAUAACCUCGGGAAACUGAGGAUAAACCGCGAUAGGCCAUAAUUACUGGAAUGCAUUAUGGUUGAAAUCUAUAUGGCCUCUGGAUUGGACUGCGGCCGAUCAGGCUGUUGGUGAGGUAAUGGCCCACCAAACCUGUUACCGGUACGGGCUCUGAGAGGAGGAGCCCGGAGAUGGGCACUGAGACAAGGGCCCAGGUCCUAUGGGGCGCAGCAGGCGCGAAACCUCUGCAAUGGGCGAAAGCCUGACAGGGUUACUCUGAGUGAUUCCCGCUAAGGGAAUCUUUUGGCACCUCUAAAAAUGGUGCAGAAUAAGGGGUGGGCAAGUCUGGUGUCAGCCGCCGCGGUAAUACCAGCACCCCGAGUGGUCGGACGAUUAUUGGGCCUAAAGCAUCCGUAGCCGGUUUUACAAGUCUUCCGUUAAAUCCAGCUGCUUAACAGAUGGGCUGCGGAGGAUACUACAAAGCUAGGAGGCGGAAGAGGCAAGCGGUACUCAAUGGGUAGGGGUAAAAUCCUCUGAUCCAUUGA
RNAcentral lists this ribosomal RNA (642 nucleotides) under uncultured archaeon. Its description in RNAcentral is "bacterial SSU rRNA". It matches the Rfam family "Archaeal small subunit ribosomal RNA", at positions 5 to 653 of the family's 1478-position model. The record is from RNAcentral.